This 87-nucleotide unclassified non-coding RNA is filed under the name Pseudomonas marginalis. The record is from RNAcentral. Lineage: Bacteria; Pseudomonadati; Pseudomonadota; Gammaproteobacteria; Pseudomonadales; Pseudomonadaceae.
GUGGGAAGGGGGUUGCUCCCGAUGGUGGUAAUUCAGUCGGUUAAUUUCUGACUGAUACACCGCCAUCGGGAGCAAUCCCCUUCCCAC